Molecule: ribosomal RNA, 301 nt
Filed under: uncultured bacterium
Lineage: Bacteria
Description: partial 16S ribosomal RNA
Rfam family: Bacterial small subunit ribosomal RNA
Source: RNAcentral
CAGUAGCCGCGGUAAUACCGAGGGUGCAAGCGUUAAUCGGAAUUACUGGGCGUAAAGCGUGCGUAGACGGUUACAUAAGUCGGGUGUGAAAGCCCCGGGCUCAACCUGGGAAUUGCAUUCGAGACUGCGUAGCUAGGGUACGGAAGAGGGAGGCGGAAUCUCAGGUGUAGCGGUGAAAUGCGUAGAUAUCUGAAGGAACACCAGUGGCGAAAGCGGCCUCCUGGUCCAGUACCGACGUUCAGGCACGAAAGCGUGGGGAGCAAACAGGAUUAGAUACCCCAGUAGUCCCUGUCUCUUAUAC